Molecule: ribosomal RNA, 3009 nt
Filed under: Caldifarciminota bacterium
Lineage: Bacteria; Pseudomonadati; Caldifarciminota
Description: candidate division WOR-3 bacterium (sediment metagenome) 23S ribosomal RNA
Rfam family: Bacterial large subunit ribosomal RNA
Source: RNAcentral
UCAAGCUACUAAGAGCACAUGGUGGAUGCCUCGGCAGUUGAAGGCGAUGAAGGGCGUGGUAAGCUGCGAUAAGCGCCGGUGAGCUGCACACAAGCUUUGACCCGGCGAUGCCCGAAUGGGGAAACCCGUGCAGAGUAAUGUCUGCACAUCCCGGGAUGAAUCCAUAGUCCCGGGAGGCGAACCCGGGGAAGUGAAACAUCUCAGUACCCGGAGGAAAAGAAAGCGAAUGCGAUUCCCUGAGUAGUGGCGAGCGAAAGGGGAAAAGCCUAAACCGAUUCCGGUGUCAAGCCAGCAGGCGUUGCCGGAACGGGGUAGUGGGAGCCAGUCACGCCGGCUGCUGGGAGGCGAAGGAGUUACAAAGGUCUGCUGUUAGCCGAAGUCUUCUGGAAAGGGACACCAGAGAGGGUGAAAGUCCCGUAGGCGAAAACGGCAGGCUCUCCUGCGGCUGGUUUCCCGAGUACCACGGGGCACGAGAAACCCUGUGGGAAUCAGGCCCGACCACGGGCUAAGGCUAAAUACUCUCAACUGACCGAUAGUGCACCAGUACCGUGAGGGAAAGGUGAAAAGAACCCCUGGCGGGGAGUGAAAUAGAACCUGAAACCAUGUGCUUACAAUCAGUGGGAGCAGUGGCGGUCUUUCCGCAAGGAUCGAUCGCUGCUGUGACCGCGUGCCUUUUGCAUAAUGACCCGGCGAGUGAAUGUGCGUGGCGAGGUUAAGCCUCUCUGAGGCGAAGCCGGAGCGAAAGCGAGUCCUAACUGGGCGACAAGUCGCGCGCAUUCGACCCGAAACCCGUGUGAUCUACCCAUGGCCAGGUUGAACUUGGGGUAACACCCAAGGGAGGACCGAACCGGUGGCCCUUGCAAUAGCCUCGGAUGAGCUGUGGGUAGGAGUGAAAGGCUAAUCAAACCGGGUGAUAGCUGGUUCUCCCCGAAAUGCCUUUAGGGGCAGUCUCGCAAGUUCAGUUGCGGAGGUAGAGCACUGGACGGGCGCUCCCCCACAAUGUGGGGGAAAACCCGACCAAACUCCGAAUGCCGCAACUCCAGAUUGCGGGAAAGAGGCUGUGAGCUCUAAGGUCCAUGGCCGAGAGGGGAAUAACCCAGACCACCAGCUAAGGCCCCUAAGUGUAUGCUAAGUGGGAAAAGAGGUGAGGUUGCUCAGACAGCUGGGAUGUUGGCUUAGAAGCAGCAAUCAUUUAAAGAGUGCGUAACAGCUCACCAGUCGAGCGACCUUGCGCUGAAAAUUCAUCGGGGCUCAAGCAUACCGCCGAAGCUGUGGACUUCUCCGAGUAAAUCGGAGGAGUGGUAGGGGAGCGUUCUGCAGUAGGUUGAAGGCUGACCGCGAGGCCAGCUGGACGAACCAGAAGUGAUUAUGCCGGGACGAGUAGCGUUAAAACAGGUGAAAAACCUGUUCGCCGGAAGCCCAAGGUUUCCUGGGGAAGGUUAAUCCGCCCAGGGUUAGUCGGUGCCUAAGCUGAGGCCGAAAGGCGUAGGUGAUGGGAAUCCGGUUAAUAUUCCGGAACCACCUUGGUGUCGUUACGAGCUAUGGGGGGACGCAGUCGGAAGGGUUCAGCCCCGUGCUGGAUCGGGGUCUAAGCCAUGGUGAUGGCGCGUAGGAAAAUCCGCGCGCGGGAUUCACUGUGGUGAUGGGGACUCUGCCGUCAGGCAGAGGAACUGGACCGGCCCGGCUGCCGAGAAAAGCCUCUAUGCCAGACAUCAGGGUGACCGUACCGUAAACCGACACUGGUGGGCGAGGAGAAUAUCCAAAGGCGCUCGGGUGAGCUCUCGUUAAGGAACUCGGCAAUCUAGCCCCGUAACUUCGGGAGAAGGGGUGCCACCGCAAGGUGGCCGCAGUGAAGAGGCUCUGCCGACUGUUUAACAAAAACACAUGUCUCUGCUAAGCCGUGAAGGCGAAGUAUAGGGACUGACACCUGCCCGGUGCCGGAAGGUUAAGGAAGGGGGUCAGCCGCAAGGCAAAGCUCCCGACCGAAGCCCCGGUAAACGGCGGCCGUAACUCUAACGGUCCUAAGGUAGCGAAAUUCCUUGUCGGGUAAGUUCCGACCUGCACGAAUGGUGUAACGAGUGGAGCGCUGUCUUAACGAGAAGCCCGGCGAAACUGUAGUGGCGGUGAAGAUGCCGCCUGCCCGCGAUUGGACAAAAAGACCCCGUGAACCUUUACUACACCUUGCCAUUGGACCUUGGCCGAGCAUGUGUAGGAUAGGUGGGAGGCUGUGAAGUCCGGACGCCAGUUCGGAUGGAGCCGUCGGUGAAAUACCACCCUUGUUCUGUUGGGGUUCUAACACCGUGCUGUUAAUCCAGGCGGUGGACAGUGGCAGGCGGGUAGUUUGACUGGGGCGGUCGCCUCCCAAAAGGUAACGGAGGCGCUCAAAGGUCGGCUCAACACGGACGGCAACCGUGUGGUGAGCGCAAGGGUAUAAGCCGGCCUGACUGUGAGACCGACAGGUCGAGCAGAGACGAAAGUCGGACCUAGUGAUCCUGUGGCUCUGCGUGGAAGGGCCAUAGCUCAACGGAUAAAAGGUACUCCGGGGAUAACAGGCUGAUCGGGCCCGAGAGUUCACAUCGACGGCCCGGUUUGGCACCUCGAUGUCGGCUCAUCGCAUCCUGGGGCUGGACAAGGUCCCAAGGGUUGGUCUGUUCGCCCAUUAAAGCGGUACGUGAGCUGGGUUCAGAACGUCGUGAGACAGUUCGGACUCUAUCCAUCGUGGGCGGAGGAGACUUGAGGGAAGCUGCCCAUAGUACGAGAGGACCUGGGUGGACGCACCUCUGAUGUACGAGCUGUCCUGCCAAGGGCACCGCUCGGUAGUCAAGUGCGGCAGGGAUAACCGCUGAAGGCAUCUAAGCGGGAAGCCCCUCCCAAGAUUAGGUCUCCCGCGUGGCAGGCCGCAAGGCUUGCCACCCUUAAGGCCCCUGGUAGACUACCAGGUUGAUAGGCCACAGGUGUAAGCGCAGUAAUGCGUUCAGCCGAGUGGUCCUAAUCGGCCGUGCGGCUUGA